RNAcentral lists this ribosomal RNA (387 nucleotides) under uncultured bacterium. Its description in RNAcentral is "bacterial SSU rRNA". It matches the Rfam family "Bacterial small subunit ribosomal RNA", at positions 28 to 417 of the family's 1533-position model. The record is from RNAcentral.
GACGAACGCUGGCGGCGUGCUUAACACAGGCAAGUCGAGCGGUAAGGCCCCUUCGGGGGUACACGAGCGGCGAACGGGUGAGUAACACGUGGGUGACCUGCCCUCAGCUCUGGGAUAAGCCUGGGAAACUGGGUCUAAUACCGGAUAUGACUCCAUGACGCAUGUCGUGGGGUGGAAAGCCUUGUGCGGCUGGGGAUGGGCCCGCGGCCUAUCAGCUUGUUGGUGGGGUGAUGGCCACCAAGGCGACGACGGGUAGCCGGCCUGAGAGGGCGACCGGCCACACUGGGACUGAGACACGGCCCAGACUCCUACGGGAGGCAGCAGUGGGGAAUCUUGCGCAAUGGGCGAAAGCCUGACGCAGCGACGCCGCGUGAGGGAUGACGGCCU